RNAcentral lists this ribosomal RNA (526 nucleotides) under uncultured bacterium. RNAcentral describes it as "bacterial SSU rRNA". It matches the Rfam family "Bacterial small subunit ribosomal RNA", at positions 28 to 526 of the family's 1533-position model. The record is from RNAcentral.
GACGAACGCUGGCGGCGUGCCUAAUACAUGCAAGUCGUACGCAAAACUUUCACCGAGUGCUUGCACUCACCGAAAGUUUUGAGUGGCGAACGGGUGAGUAACACGUGGGUAACCUGCCCAGAAGAAGGGGAUAACACUUGGAAACAGGUGCUAAUACCGUAUAACAACAAAGACCGCAUGGUCUUUGUUUAAAAGAUGGUUCUGCUAUCACUUCUGGAUGGACCCGCGGCGUAUUAGCUAGUUGGUGAGGUAAUGGCUCACCAAGGCAAUGAUACGUAGCCGAACUGAGAGGUUGAUCGGCCACAUUGGGACUGAGACACGGCCCAAACUCCUACGGGAGGCAGCAGUAGGGAAUCUUCCACAAUGGACGAAAGUCUGAUGGAGCAACGCCGCGUGAGUGAAGAAGGUUUUCGGAUCGUAAAACUCUGUUGUUAGAGAAGAACGUGUGUGAGAGUAACUGUUCAUGCAGUGACGGUAUCUAACCAGAAAGCCACGGCUAACUACGUGCCAGCCGCCGCCGUAACAC